AAAAAAAAAAAUCAGCAGGCUGCAACAAAAUAUGAAGCAUCAAUCAUUCAAUUACAAAUUAAAACUGAUUCCAAAUUUAAAAAAAGCUGUAGAAACUCUGUAAUUUGGGUAAUCUCAGCAACUUCUAACUAAGCAUAGCUUUUUUCCCUUUAGAUGUUAAAACAAAUAAAAUAAACCAGACUGCAGCAACAAAAUAUAAAGCAUCAACCAUUCAAUACAAAUUAAAACUGAUCCCAAAUAAAUUAAAAAAAAAAAAAAA
Molecule: unclassified non-coding RNA, 259 nt
Filed under: Hevea brasiliensis (rubber tree)
Lineage: Eukaryota; Viridiplantae; Streptophyta; Magnoliopsida; Malpighiales; Euphorbiaceae
Source: RNAcentral